ACCCAGCAAGAAACGUUAGGGUCACAUGAGACUAAUGUAAGACAAACCGGUGAGACAGUUAGGCUAACAAAAUCCCUCACGUUAGGCUCAGGUUCGACAAAAUUCAGGCUAAUAUGACACACUUUUGUUAGGCAUAUUUUCGAGCUCGACCCUUUGUUAGGUAUGUUUUGGCUAACGUGAGCCUCACGUUAGGCAUUUUCUGCACUGGGCUGUUAGACCCCGGUUAGGCAUUAUUUUUAUGCUGGUUUAUUUACAUCUAGCUGUCAUCCGCGGUGGAAGUAAAGUUGUGUUAGUGAAUAUGGUUAGAUUUUCACUGCCACAACUUUACUUUCACCGUGGAUUCCAGCUAGAUGUAAAUAAAUAAACCAGCAUUAAAAUAACUCAACAGCAAGAGGAAUCGAAGGCAAUCAACAGCAGCACAUGAAGAUCCAGCAGGUCCAGGUGGAACGUCUCCCUCUCAGAAAUCAUACGCUCCAGGAAACGGGACUGCCACGGGUAUGUAAUCAAGAAUGGUGCUCCAAGAAGCAACUGAAUCACACCGCAAAUCGCCAGUUCCCCAAUUGUCUUCACAACCACCCAGAUUAGUUAAGAAGAGCAGGAAGAUUGCUGGAGGGAACAGCAGAACGUCUAUUUUGCGGAGACACCCAAACUGAGGAAGAUACUGCCCAGUGUCCACCAGUUGCCGAUGAAGAGAUUUAGGGCAAGGUACAGGAACAAGAUCGCUAUGGAGCCGUUGAACAUUCUCAGGACGUAAAUCGAAUGGAUGCGGUAGGACGUGAAAGUGAUAAUGGUUAGAACGUAUGGAGGUAGCUUUUGGUUCUUGUAGUAAAGUCGCAGAACCAACCACAUCUGUACCAUGUAGAUUCCGACCCGACGAAGAUGUACUGUGUCAUCCGGAUGAUGUGACCGUGGGACGUGAUAAAGUACAGGGCACGGUAGAUGUAAAUAAAUAAAUAAAUCCGGCCGGAUAGACAAGCGUGACUCUCAGCAUAAUUAGUCGUCCCAUUUAGAAAUCCCUCGCACUCAUGUCAAUUUCCGUAUACGGCACAUUCCGCACUACAAAACCAUUCAACACCAACUCGUCAGCCAGAAUAAGUCACGGCAGCUGGGCAGGGUCGAAAAGCAGCGACUUCACGAAAGCCACAUUCGGAUACUGUUCCCGCAGGUUCGUCCUCAACGUUAGGUACUUUGCUUGGUUUUGCGUGGCCUACCGUGCUACCUCGUUUAUAGGUGCCCGAAGGGGUUUUGAUUUUCCCGGUACCCGGUGGUGCCAUGUUGGACUUUUUUCCUCGUCAAAGUAUCCUUUUGUUGAUCACUGCGCAGUAAAUGAUAUCGAUUAGCAAAUCUUUCAAGAAAUGCCUUUAGGAUUCCUCCAGAGAAUUUUGUAAUAUACUUCGUUUCUUUAGAAUGCAUCCACAGAUUCCUUCGGGAACUUGGUUCCAUUAUAGUUUGUGCCAGAACCCUUCCGAGAAUUUUGUGUUAUUUUGUUCAUUCUUCCAAAAACUUUUUCGGGAAAUACUUCUUAUUUAUUUUUCGAAGAAUCCUUAGAGAAAUCAUCCAGAGUUCAUUUCUUUCUGCAGAGUUUAGAUUCUUUCGAGAAUUGUUUCACAGAUUCCUUCGAUAGUCUACCAUAAAAUACUUUGUUAAUUUCUCCAGAAAUUUCUUCGGGAAUCCAUAGAUUCCUUCAAGAAUUUUCCCACAGAUUUCUCUGUUCAUAACUACAUAUUCUUUCAGGCUCGCUUUCAGGAAUCCCUCAAAAGAUUCAUAAGGAUAUCCUCUAGAUUCUUUCGUGAUUUUUUUUUCAAAUAUACAUACCAUAAAAAAGCUUCUUACGGGAUUUCCUCUUCAGAUUUUUUAGGAUUUCGUUCAGAGAUUUCUUCAGGAAUGUUUCUAUCGAAAAAUUCUUUGUUCAUGCCUGCUGAGCUUUUUUUCUGUAUUUCCUCCACAGAUUCAUUUGAGAAUUUCCCAAAAACAUUCUUAGUUCAAUCUUCCAGAAAUUCCUCUGGCAAUGUAUCCACACAUGCCUUUGUUCAUUCCUACAGAGAUUCCUACCGAAAUUACUCCACGGAUUCUUGAGGAAGUUAGUAAUACCACAGAUUCUUUUAGGAAUUUUUCCAUAGAUUCAGUUGAAAGUUGUUGCACAGUUUCGUUCAAGAAUUUUCCAAGAAAAGUCAUUUCUACAGAAAUUAAUUUUUAAAUUGAUUUGAAGAUUGCUCAAAGUAUUCUCUCAGAGAUUCUUUCGUUCAGUUUUCCAGGUGUUCUUUUGUAAAUUUCUCCAGGAUUUGUUCCGGAAUAUCCUCAGGGAUUCUUUCGAGUUCUCCUCUAGAAAUUAUUUCGAAAAUUAGAUUUUUUUUUCUGGAAUUUUCGCACAAAUUACUUCGUACUAUCCUCCAGAGUUUUUUUUUUUUGAGAAUUCUUUCACAUAUUCCUUUGAAAUUUUAUUCAGAAGUUUUUUUGCAUUCCCUCCAGCGUUAUUUAGUUAUUGAGAAAAAAAUCUAAAAUUUCUAAGAGAUAUUUUCAGAGAAAGCUCCAGAGAUUCUAUAGUUAAAAUGUUUCCUCUGUUGAGAAUUCCUUUAAGUAUUUUUCCAGUGAUUGUUAAAACAGUUUCUCUAGAGAUUGUUUCUGAAAUACUUGCAUAUUCCUUAGAAAUUAACCUCAGGGAAUAAACUGAAUCAAGAAAUUAUUUCGAAAUUUCGUACACAGAUUGAUAUAAAAAUUUAACAUUAAUCAUUUUGUUCUUUCCUUCACAGAUUUUUUCAAACAGAGAUAUUUACAAAAAUUGAGCCACAAAUUUCUUACGGAAUUUUUUUACAAACUUCUUAGUUUAUUCCUCAAGAGAUUAUUUUAGGAAGUGCUUCCAAUCAUAGGCGUAGCCAGAGGGGGGCAAGGGGGGCCGUGCCCCCUCCUGGCCGCCAGAUUUUUUUUAAUUCGAGUUAACUCAAAUAUUAUCAAUAAUUAAGAGUUGCAGAAAAAAAAUAUCUAAAAAAAUAAACUAUUCUAUUAAUUAAGGUUUUUAUCCACACUUACUAAACCUUUUUUGCUCGAGAACCAUAGGGAAUUUCACCAAGUAUUCCUCCAACAGAACCACUUCAAUAUAUCAUAGAAUAUUAACAAAUAACUAGCUUGGUUGAAUGGCUAAAUCUUGUGAUGUUUAUUCAUGGAAUACAAAAACAACAUGCCAAAUUUCCCAGAUAUGUAUGCCGAAACAAGUUCCGGUAGGGAAAAGAAGGACUUUGUAGACUUUUUCUCAUAGCUUCCUUCAGUCCGGUGAUCAUGGGUUGCUCCAGAUAAUUUUUCAAGAAUUCUUCAAUGGGUUUCACCAGACAUUCCUCCGGGAAUUUCUCUUGAGAUUCCCAAAGCAAUGUCAACAUAAAUUAUUUUAUGCAUUUCUGCAAGUAUUCAUUAAGAUUUCUUCAGGGAUUUCUCCAUAUAUUCCUUCAAAAGUUCCACUAGAGAUUGCUCCAAUAAUUCAAUCUUGAAUAAUUCGAAGAAUUCCAGCAGCAAUAUCUUCUAGAAACCCUUACAUGAAAUUUUACCAGAGAUUAGGUAAAAUUAAACCAGGAAUUCCUUGAAACAUUGCACAAAGCAUUGUUUUGGGAGUCCGUCCAAAGAUUCCAACAAUAUGUAAUUCGUCCAAAAAUUAUUGCAGACCUGGAUUCCUUCAUACUUUUUUCCUACAGAGAUUCUUCCAGGAAUUUGUUAAGAAAGCUUUCCUGGGAUUUCCUAAGGAAUUUCUCAUGGGACUGCUGUCGGGAUUCAGGAACUCCUGCAGGGCUUUCUUUAGGAACUGCAACAGGGAUUCCUCAAGGAGUUCCUUCGCGAACUCUUUUUAGAAUGCCUUCAAGAUUUCUUUAAGGAUUCCAUCUGCAAUUUUUUCAGGUAUUCUUUCUGGCAUUUCCCCAGGAAUUUAUCAAGGGAUUCUUAAACAAAUUUCUUCAGAGAUUCCUCCAGGAACUAUUCCUCUGGGAAGUGCAGCAGGGAUUCUUCUAGAUAUUUCUCCAGGAGUAUUUCUAGAGAUUCCUUCGGUAAUCCCUACAGGCAUUUCUCUAGGAUAUUCUUCAGAGAUUCCUCCAAGAAUUUCUACAGCGCGGGAAUUGCUUCUGUGAUUCUUUCUUCAACAACUUAUUUUAAAAAUCUCUCUUUUCAAAGAUUCUCCCAGGAACUCUUCUUAAUAUUUCUUCUGGAUUUCCUCCUUGUAUUCUUUAAGGAUUUCCUCCAGAAAUUAAUGCAGUACUUCCUCUAGGAACUGUUAAGUGAUUCCCUUAUUAAUUCCUCUUGAAAUUGCUUCCGGGGUUCCUUCUGGAGUUUCUUCAGGAACUCUUUUAAGGAUUCCUCCGAAAUUCCUUAAGAAAUUUAUCCAUUUUUUUCAGGAACUCCUCUUGGAAUUUUUCCAGGGAUUCCCCUGGGAGUUUUUGCAGGGAUUUCUCUGAAAGUUCUUCCAGGAAUUCAUCUAGAGAUUCCUCCAGGAGUUCCUCUGGAGAUUCCUUCAGGAAUUCAUACGGGUGUUCCUCUAUAUAAAUCCCUCCUACAUUCCUACAUUUUUUUCAGAGAUUCCUCCAAGAAAUCCUCCAAGGUUUCCUUAAGGCAUUCCUUCAUGAAUUCCUCCAGGCAUUCCUCCAGAGAUUCCACCAGAAAUUGCUCUGGGAUUGUUCGUAGAAUUCCACCUGGAAUUCCUACAGAAAUUUAUCCAGGAAUUCUUAAAGGGAUUUCUUCAAGGAUUUUUUCCAGAGACUUGUACAAGAAUUUCUCUAAAGAUUGCUCCAGGAAUUUCUUCAGAGAAUCAUCCAAGAAUUCCACCAGGAAUUCUCCUAGGCAUUCUUCCAAGAAAUUUUCCAGGCAUUCUUCCAGGGAUUCCUCCUUGGAUUCUUGCAGAAAUUUCUCUAGGAUUUUUUUCAGCGAUUCCUCACGGAAUUCCACCAGAUAUUCUUCCAGGAAUUGCUUCAGGGACACCUGGGACUCCUUCAGAAAUCCAUGCAGGCAUUACUCCACGAAUUAUUCAAGGUACUUUCUUAUAAAUUAUGUCAGCAGUUCAUCUAGGAAUAUCUCCAGGAAAUCCUUCAAGAAUUACUUCAGAAAUUCUUUCAGGAUUUUUUUCUAGGAACACCUUUUGGAUUUUUUCCAAGAACUCCAAGAAUUCUUCCAGAUCCAGGAAUUCCGCUAAAAAUUCCUCCAGGAACUUCUUCAGGGAUGUUUCCACGAAUUUCUCCAAUUAUUCCCCAAAGAUUUCUUCAGGAAUUCUUUCGAAGAUUUCUCCAGGAACUCCUCCAGAAAUUUAUCUAGGAAUUCUUCCAGGAAUUUUUCAGGGGAUUUUUCAGAACUUUCUCCCAGGGUUCCUCUGAGAUUCCCUCAGAAAUUUAUUCAGUAAUAAUUCUUACUGGUAUUAGGUAUUCUUACCUCCAGCAAUUCCCAAAAGAAAACCUCCAGGAAUUCCUCCAGGCAUUCCUCCAAGAUUUCAUUCAGGGAUUUCUCCAAGAACUCCUCCGGGACAUUCUCGAGGAAUUACUCCAUGAAUUUCUACAGGAUUUGCCCCAGAAAAUUGUCUAGGAAUUUAUCUAUGAAUUGCUCCUGGACAUUCUUAAGAAAUUAUGUUAGCAAAUACUCCAGGAUUUUCUUCAGGAAUUUUUCUGGGGAUUUUUUCAAAAAUUCUUCCAGGAAAUUCUUCAAAAAUAUCCUAAGGAAUUUCUCCUGAGAUUCCUUCAUAAAUUGCUUCAGGUAUUCUUCCAGGGGUUUCUUCGCGAUUUUUUCAGGGAUUGUCUCAGGGAUUCCUCCAGGAAAGCCUGCGAAGGUUUCUAGAAAUUCAUCCAGUAUUUUUUUUUCAUAAAUUCCGCUAGAUAUUCCACCAGGAGUUCCAUCAUGGAUUCCUCCAGCAAUUCCUACAUAAAUACCUCUAGGAAUUCCUCCAGGCAUUCCUCCAGGAUUUUAUCAAGGAAUUUAUUCAGAAACUCCUCCAAAAAUUACCCCAGGAUUUUUUUCCAGGAAUUCCUUCAAAUAUUUUUCCAGGAAUUGCUCCUGGACAUCUUUCAGAAAUUCUUUCAGCUAUUCCUCCAGGUAUUUCUCCUGAGAUUUCAUUAGGAAUAGCUUCAAGGAUAUAAUGUAGAAUUAGCUCUAAGUUAAAAUACACAUAAAUAAAAACAAAAAAAAGCUUCAAGGAUUCCUCCAGAAAAUCCUUCAAAAGUUUUUCCAAUGAAUCUUCCAGGAAUACCUUCAAAAAUUCUUCCAGGAAUACCUUCAGGAAUUUUCCAGAGAUUUCUUCAGGUAUUCCUCCAGGAAUUUCUCCAGAGAUUCCUCCAGGGAUUUCUCCACAAAUUUAUUCCAGUAUGCCCCCAGUGAUUCUUUCAGGAAUUCCUUCAAGGAUUUCUCAAGGGAUUUUUUUUUUCAGAAAUAGAAAUUGCAAUCUCCCAGAAUUCCUAUGGAGAUUCCUCUAGAACUUCAUCCAGUUAUUCUUUCAAGAUUUCCUUUAGAGAUUCCUCAAGCAAUUCCCACAGGAAUACCUCUAGGAAUUCCUCCAGGCAUUCCUCCAGGAUUUAAUCCAGGAAUUUCUCCAGGAAUUUCUCCAGGAAAUACCCCAGGAAUUUCAUCAGGAUUUCAUCCAGGAAUUGCUUCUGGACAUUCUUCAGAAAUUAUAUCAGCAAUUCCUUCAGUAAUUUCUUCAGGAGAUCCUCUAGGGAUUUGUGCAGAGAUUCUUCCGGGAAAUUCUCCAGUAAUACUUUCAGGAAUUUGUCAAGGAUUCCUCCAGAGAUUCCUCCAGGAUUUUCUUUAGCGAUUCCCCCACGAAUAUCUCCAGGGAUAUUCCCAGAGAUACCUCCAGAGAUUUCUCCAGAAAUUCCUCCAAUGGUUAUUCCAGGAAAUCCUCCUGGAAUUUCUCAAGGGUUUUUUUUCAGAAAUUUCUCCAGCAAUUUCUCCUAGAAUUCCUCUGAAGAUUUCUUCAGGAAUUUUUCCAUUGCUCCAAGAAUUCAUCCAAGCAAAUUCUCCAGGAAUUCCGGCUGGGACUUAUCCAAAUAUUCCUCCAUGAAUUACGCUCGGAAAUUUUUCAGAAAUUUCUCCAGGCAUUCCUCCAGUAUUCUUGCUUGAUUUUCCCAGGAACUACUUCAAGGAUUCCUUAAGGAAUCUUUUCUGGGAUUUCUCCAAGAAUCCCCCCAAAGAAUCCUCCAGAAAUUAAUGUAGGAUUUCUUCUACGAUUACCUCAUGAGGUCUCUUCAGAAAUUUCUUUAACUAUUCCUCCCAUAUUUUUAUACAGGAAUUCCUCCAGGUAUACUUUAAAAAAUUCUUCUAGGGAUUCCUACGGGAAUUUCGCCGGGAAUGCCUCCAGGCAUUCCUGUAGGAAUUAUAACAGCGAUUCAACCAGGUUUUUCUCCAGGAAGUCUUCCAGGGAUUUCUCCGGAAAUUUAUCAAUAUCAAUUUCUCUUCACAAAUUCCCCCUCUCUAUAAAACCUAAUUCAGGAGUUCCUUCGAAAAUAUCAGAAAUCCUACAAACAUGUUUUCACGGAUGUACCCAAGAACUUUUUCAGAAUUAGGGUAAUUCACUAAUUGUUGAAAACCACCCAAAUGUUGAACAGUUUCUGAAAAUGUUAUUACAAAUCUAACUUGAGUAAUUUUUGCUCAAUGUAAACGUAUGAUGUAGAUGCGUAUACAUGUGUGUCACGAUAUUGCUCCAAUUAAGUAACAAAAUUAUAUAUAUUUUUCGUCAAAAAUGAUGAUUGCCAAUUUUGUACCGCUGAUGACACGAAAACUGCACAAUUCUUAAGAUUAAUUUUAAGAAAUUGCUCUUACGAAAUAAGCUUUGCUGGCAAAUCAACCUCAAAUAUCAAAGUCACACCAUAGUUACAAGAACUGGAAGGAUGUCCUUAACAGUUUAACAUUGUUUAAAAUUACAUUUUCAUUGUGAUUUCAUUUGUAGAAAAUAUUUUUCUUAUCACACUAUCAUUAUGCAUCUAGGAUCCAAUUGUUGAACACUGAUAUUAAACAAUGACAUAGCAUGACUGCCAUAUUUUUUUCCACUUUACCUAAUCGUGCAUGUCAUGGGGUUUCAAGGGCGUUCCAGGGAUGUUCCAGGGGUGUUGCAGAGGGCUUCAGGAUGGUUCCAGGGGGUUUCAAUGGGUUCCAAGGGCGUUCCAGAGGGAUUCAGAGUGUUAAGGUGGUCCCAGGAGUAUUUCAGGGCGUUCCAGAGGAAUUUACGAGUGAUCCACGAGUUUGCAAGGGAUUUAAGAGUCGUUGUAGGGGUGUUCUAGGGGGUUGAGUGGGUCCCAUGGGUAUCAGUGUUUUAGUGUUUCAGGGGCUUUCAAAAGAGUUCUUUUCUUCAAUCGUUUUCGUUUCUAGUCAAAUCUUUUCAGACAUUUUUUACAUCUAGUCGUGUUUAAAACAAUUUCAGUCCACUAGAGCUCUCUCCAAAUGAGAAGCAAUUCCCUGUCAUUUGAAUAAAUUGCCACUCAAAUGCCUUACUGGCCACAAAACACGAAAAACGUGGAAAAAUUCCGGCAGAGUGAAAAAUUAUCGGAUGUCGGGUCAAAGUCGGGUCAAAUUUUAUCAAAUGUUGGACCACUGUUGGACUCACAUCGGAUAACUGUAGGGUCUAUGUUGGGUUUGGUAGCCAAAAUAAAAACAGGUGAAUGAUAGGUUGAUGUCGGGUCAUACGUCAUCAAUUACGAACAAAGCUUGAACCGUUCAACAAUUAGCGAGAAUCGUCCAACAUUAGGAUGAGCUAGCUUAAGGAAGCGUUCAACAUUUGGGUAACAGACUUCCCAUACAAAUGUUCUAUUUUCUCUUAGAAAAUGGCAUUUAAGGGAAUUGAAAUUCAAUGGGAAGUAUACGGAAUGAGUGGAUCUAGACGUUCACUGGAUAUUUUUCAACUAAAGUGGAAUUAUGCACGGAAAAAUAAACGAAAACAAAAAUGUCAGUACUAACCGUUCAACAAUUGGCGAAUUACCCUACGUGAUUUUUUUUUAAUAUUUCAAGAAUUUGUGGAGGAAUUCCUCCAGCGAAUAGUAUUGGAAAAUUUAAAAAGGAUGCAUACAGGAACCAGAAAAUUCAAGGUUAGUCUUCAAAAAAGUUCGUAAUUUUCAAAAGAUUUCAGCUAUAAUUUCUUAUAAAUAUUUUGUUGACUUUAACAAUAUAAAAAUCAGAGCAAAAUUAUGCACGAGUGAAUAAAAAUCGCUAAUCUUCCAGAAAUUGGUCACCGCUACCAGCAUCACGUUGAUUUUUAUAGAUCAGGUGAGCUUUUUUUAACGUAUUGAACAAAAUACAACGGAUUAAAUAAUGCUUAAGGAAUAUCAUGUUAAUAUACUCAAUUUCAUCGUGCUGCGUUUAGUUAUAAAAGCUAGUAAAUACAAAUUUUCUAAGGGUGCUUGCCCCCCCUGACCGAAAAGCUGGCUACGCCCUUGCUUCCAAUAUUCCAUUGAAGAAUUAUUCGGAGAUUGUUUCGGGAUUUCCUCUAGAGAUUUAUCUGUAGAUUUAUCUCAAAAACAUUUCUUGCUUCUCCAGAUAUUGCUUCGGAUAUAAUCCACAGAUUUCUCAGAGAAUUGGGUUUUUAAAUUAAGAAAAUGUAUUGAUUUUUUGAUUUUAUACGAAAAAGCACCUUUUUCUGAACCACCAUGAUUUUUUUCAGAUUUUUAGAACUUCAUUUUGAUACCUAAAAUCGAUUUCGAAGAGAUUUUUCAAAAUCACCUUUUGACAGCUGGCCAACUGCUUGACAGCUCCGCCCAGUACAAAAUGCGACGAGGGGUGAUUCGACAAAUCGCUCCCAUACAAACUUCAAACUGAUUUUGAAAUAGGUUCCCGGGCACCAAAAUUCAUGAAAAUUUGGAUUUCGGCUCAGUUUUGCAUGCAGAUUCUGAAUAUGAAAUUAUCUCAACACCGCCAAAAAAAAACAAUUACUCCAGAGAUUCUUAUGUUCAUUUCUAAAGAUGCUCUACCAGAAACUCUUAUGGAGAUUACUAUGACAAUUUUCCAAUGAUUACAUCAAUACUUCGCCCAAAAUUUCCUUCGUCCACAAAUGCAAUCGUUUAUUCCCCCAGAGAUUGUUUUAGAAAUUCCUUCAAAUACUCCUCAAAAAUUUAUUCAGGCUUUUUUUUCAGGUUUUUUUUCAAAAUUAUAAAUAUGAACAAAAUUGUUUUGUUUAAUCCUCUUGAAAUUUCUGCGGGAAUGUCUCUCUCUCUUCUUGGCGUAACGUCCUCACUGGGACAAAGCCUGCUUCUCAGCUUAGUGUUCAAUUGCACUUCCACAGUUUUUAACUGAGAGCUUCCUCUGCCAAUGACCAUUUUGCAUGUGUAUAUCGUGUGGCAGGCACGAAGAUACUCUAUGCCCAAGGAAGUCAAGGAAAUUUCCUUUACGAAAAGAUCCUGGACCGACCGGGAAUCGAACCCGUCACCCUCAGCAUGGUCAUGCUGAAUACCCGUGCGUUUACCGCCUCGGCUAUAUGGGCCUAGAUUUAAAAAAAUACUGCAGAGUUCAUAGAUGUAUUCGUGCACGACUGCAGAAAAAAUAUCUCAAAAAAUCAAACAAUCCUAUAAUUAAGGUUUUUAUUCGCAAUUAUCAAACCUUUUGUACUCCAGAACCACAGAAAAUUUUGCUAAAUAUUUCUCCAAGAGAACCACUUCACUUUCGCUUGGUAGAAUUGCUUAAUUUUGUGAUGUUCAUUCAUGGAAUACAAAAACAUCAUGCCAAAUUUUCCAGAUAGGCUGGAACCGGUUGCGGUAGAUUGUUUCAGGGUUUGUUCUAAGAAAUGCAUCAAGAAUUCCUUCCACAAUUCCUCCAGAAAAGUUUUGCAGAUGCUUCUGCAAGCAAGCAUUGACAAAUUCCUCCAGGAAAUUUUCCAUGGCUUCCUUCAGUGAUUCCAUCAUGGAUUGCUCCAUUUUUUUCAAGAAUUCCUCAAUGGGUUUCACCCGACAUUCCUCCGGGAUAUCUAUAGAGGUUCCUCCAGUGAAUGUUCCAGUGCUUUUUUCGAGGAUUCCUCCAAGAAUUUCUCCAGGGGAUAAUUCGAAGUAUUUCAGCAGGAAUAUCUUCCAGAAACCCGUACAGGGAACUUUGCCAGACAUUAGCUUAAAAUUCAUCCAAAGUUCCUUAAAACAUUAUACAAAACAUUCUUUUGGGAAUCCAUCCAAAACUUCCAAUAAAAACUCGUCUUAAAAUUACUGCAGACGUUGAUUCCUUCGUAUUUUUUUUUUGCUUCAAUUUUUUUUCCGGGAAUUUGUUAAGAAAGCUUUCAUGGGAUUUCCUAAGGAAUUCAUCAUGGGAUUCCCUAAGGAAUUCCUCAUGCGAUUGCUUAUAGGAUUCCUCAUGGGAUUUCUUCAGGAAUUCCUCCAGGUUUUCCUUCAAGAAUUCAUCUAGGGAUUCACCCGGGAAUUUCUUCUGCAUUUCUUUUAGGAACAACUCCAGGGAUUAUUUUAUAAAUUCCUCCAAGGAUUCCCCCAGGAACACUUUUUAAGGAAUUCCUCUUGGAAUUCUUUCAGGAACUCCUUCAGGAAUUAAUCCAGUACUUCCUCCAGGAACUGUUUAGGGAUUCCCUUAGGAAUUGUUUCCGGGAUUCCUUCUGGGGUUUAUUCAGGAACUCCUGCAAGGAUUCCUUGAGAAACUGCUACAGGGGCUCCUCAAGGAGUUCCUCCACGAACUCUUCUUAGUAUUCCUUCAGGAUUUCCUCAAGGAUUCCAUCUGCAGCUUCUUCGGGAAUGCUUCCUGGGAUUCCUCCACGAAUUUCUUCAGAGAUUCCUCCAGAAAUAAUUCUCAGGAUUCCUCAGAGAAUUGCUGCAGGGACUCCCCUAAAAAAUUAUCCAGGGAUGCCUUCAGAAAUGCCUUUAGAGUUUCCUCCAGAAAUUCCUCCUGGAAUUCUUCUACAGAUUCCUUCAGGAGUAUUUUUAGAGAUUCUCCGUUAAUAACUACUAGCAUUCCUGUAGGAUAUCCUUCAGGGAUGCCUACAUGGACUCCUCCAAGAAUUUCUGUAGGGCUUAACUCGGAAAUUCCUUAUGUGAUUUUUUCUGCAACAACUUAUUUUGAAAAUUUCUCUAAAGAUUCUCCCAGGAACUUUUCUUCAAAAAUGCAUUCUCGUAUUCCUUAUGGAACUCCUCCAGGAAUUAAUUUAGUACUUCCUGCAGGAACUGUUUAAGGAUUCCCUUAGGAAUUCCUCUUGAUAUGGCUUCCGGGAUUCCUUCAGGAACUCUUCUAAGACUUCCUCCAGAAUUUCUCCAAGAAUUCCAUCUGCGAUAUCUUCAGGAAUUAUUCCUAAUAUUCCUCUAUGAAUUCCUUAAGAGAUUCAAUUUCUUCACGAAUUUCUCUAGAAAUUUCUCCUGGGAUUCCUCUGGGAGAUCCUGCAGGAAUUUCUUUAAAAAUUCCUCCAGGAAUGCAUCUAGAGAUUCCUCCAGAAAUUUCGCUUGAUAUUCCUCUAGAGAUUUCUCCAUGAGUUCUGCUAUAGAUUCCUUCAGGAAUUCCUACAGGCAUUCCUCUAGGAUAUCGUCCAGGGAUCCCUCCAAGAUUUCUAACAAGAUUUUUUUUCAGAGAUUCCUUCAAGAAACCCUCCAGUUUCCUCAAUGCAUUCCUUCAGCGAUUCCUCCUGUAAUUGCUUCCAGGAUUCUUCCAAGAAUUUCAUAAGGAAGUUCAACAGAUGUUUAUCCAGGAAAUCUUCAAGCGUUAGGACAACUGCAAGGUAAGGGCUUCAAUUUCCAAGGUUUUUUUCCGGAGACUCCUACAGAAAUUCAUCCAAAUAUAUCUCCAGGGAUUACUUCAGGAAAUCCUUCAAGAAUACCACCAGGAAUUCUCCUAGGCAUUCUUCCAGGAAAUUUUUCAGGCAUUCUUUCAGGGAUUUCUCCAAGUUUUUUUUUUCCAGCGAUUUAUCCGGGAAUUCCACCAGAUAUUCCUCCAGGAAUUGCUUCAGGGACCCCUAAAAAAAAUCCUCCAGAAAUUCCCCAGGAGUUCUUCCAGGAGUUUCUCCUGGGAUUGCUUGAGAAGUCCAAGCUGGCAUUCCUCCAGGAUUUCUAAGAGGAUCCAGGAAUUUAUCCAGGGUCUCUUCGUGGAAUUACUCCAGGAAUUUCUUCAGGGAAUCCUCCAGGAAUUUCACCAGGAAUUAAUCAAAGAGUUCCAUCAUAAAUUAUGUCCAGUAAUUUCGCUAGGAAUACCUUCUAGAUUUCAGGAAUUCCUCCAAUAAUUCUUCAAGGUUUUUCUCCAGGAAUUUCGCUCAAAAUUUCUGCAGGAACUUCUUCAGGGAUUUUUCCUGGGAUUUCUCCACGAUUUUUUCCAAGGAUUUCCUCAGGGAUUCCUUCAGAAAUUGCUUCGAGGAUUUCUCCAGGAAUUUCUCCAGAUUUUUUUUAGAAAUUCCUCAGGAAUUUCUCAAGAGAUUUCUUCAGAAAUUUCCUCUAGAGAUUCCCCCAUAAAUUCAUCCAGCAAUUGUUGCAAGAAUUUCAAAGACUCCUCCAGCAAUUCCCAAAGGAAAACCUCCAAGAAUUCUGCCAGGAAUUCCUCCAGGAUUUUAUCCAGGAAUUCCAGGAAUUCUCCAGGAAAUACCCCAAGAAUUUCUUCAGGAUUUUCUCCAGAAAUUUCUCUAGGAAUUGAUCCAGGAAUCGCUCCUGGAAAUCCUUCAGAAAUUAUGUAAGCAAUUUCAUCAGAUUUUUUUCAGAAAACCUCAUGAGGAUUUUUUUCAGAAAUUAUUUCAGGAAAUUCUCAACGAAUUUCUCCGUGGAUUUUCCCAGGGAUUCCUCCAGGAGAUAAUUCGAAGAUUCCUCUAGGAAAUCCUCCAGAAGUUCCUACAGCAAAUCCUCUAGGGAUUUCUUUAUAAACUAUUCCAGAAAAUACUCCAGGAAUACCUUAAAGAAUUGUUCAGGGAUUCCUUCAGGUAUUCCUCCAGGAAUUCCUUUAAGGAUCCAGGGAUUUCUUCACAAAUUUCUUCAAUGAAUUUCGAGGAUUUCUCCAUGAAUGUUUCCAGAAAUUCCGCUAGAAAUUCCUAUAGGAUUUUAUUAAAAGAUUUUUUCAGAAAAAGAAAAAUAAUAUAAUUCCUCUGGAGAUCCAUCUAGAAACUUAUCCAGUAAUUCUUUCAUAAAUUCGUCUAGAGAUUUCUCCAGGAAUUUCAUCAUAAAUUCCUCCAACAUUCCCACAGUAAUUUCUCUAGGCAUUCCUCCAGGAUUUUGUCCAGGAAUUCCUCCAGGAAUUACUUCAGGAAUUGAUCCUGGACAUCCUUCAGAAAUCAUUAACAAUUCCUUUAGGGAGUCCUCCAGGCCUUUCUCCAUGAAUUUCUCCUGAGAUUCCAUCAGGAAUUGCUUCAGGAAUUUCUCUAGAGAUUUCUCCAUGAAUUUCUCCUGGGAUUUUCCCAUGGAUUACUCCAGGAAAUCCUUUAAAGUUUCCUCCAGGAAGUUCUUCAGAAGUUCCACCAAGGAUACUUCCAGGAAGUUCUCCAGGAAUACUUAUAACACGAGACAGACACAACACUUAUUAUUCUUACAAAACGUUAAAAAGAAGAUAUAAUUACCUUUAUGAGUCGACCGGUUUCGGGCUCGUUGUUGCCCAUCGACAGGACGAUGUCUGACCAGUCGGACUUCCAGGGAUUGCUCCAGGAGUUCCUCAAAUGAUUUCUUCAGAAAUUCCUCUCAGGUUCUGUUCAAAAAUUCAUUCAGGAGAUUCAUCGGAAAUUUCAGAUAUCCUUCAAUCAUCUUUUCAGGGAUGUACACAAGAACUUCUCUAGGAACACCUGUUUUUUUUUUAAAUUAUUUCAAGAAUUUCUGGAGAACUUGCUACCAGCACCACGUUGGUUUAUGUAGAUCAGGUGAGCUUUUUUAACAUAUUGUACAAAAUACAACAACGUGAUUGCUGUAGGGUUGGUUAAUUAUUGCUUUUAGAUUAUAAUGUUAUUAUAUUUAAUAUCAUCGUAUUGUGUAUAGUUAUAAAAGCUAAAAGGUACAAAUUUGCUAAGGGUGCUUGCCCUCCCUGACCGAAAAGCUGGCUACGCCCUUGCCUCCUGAGUUUUUUAUCUGUAUUUCUUUCAUAGAUUAAUUUGAGAAUAGCUUUACAGAUGCCUUCAAGAAUUUUCCAAGUACCGUAAACCGGGGUCAAAUUGAUCUUCCGGUCGAAAUUGAUCAGACGUUUUUCCGUUAGAUAAAGUAUGUUUUAAAUAGUUUUCUCAUAUGUAUCGUGUAGUAUAGGAUUCCUACAUCACGGUACUUGGAAGGAAACUAU
Long non-coding RNA from Aedes albopictus (Asian tiger mosquito), 15147 nucleotides. RefSeq lists it as uncharacterized. The transcript is spliced from 3 exons. The record is from RefSeq and is a predicted model, not a curated record. Lineage: Eukaryota; Metazoa; Arthropoda; Insecta; Diptera; Culicidae.